AAAAGGUACACCUGUUUGAGUGUCAUG
This 27-nucleotide ribosomal RNA is filed under the name Cronartium ribicola. RNAcentral describes it as "partial 5.8S ribosomal RNA". The record is from RNAcentral. Lineage: Eukaryota; Fungi; Basidiomycota; Pucciniomycetes; Pucciniales; Coleosporiaceae.